Molecule: transfer RNA, 66 nt
Filed under: Megalurothrips usitatus (bean blossom thrips)
Lineage: Eukaryota; Metazoa; Arthropoda; Insecta; Thysanoptera; Thripidae
Description: tRNA-Trp
Source: RNAcentral
GAAACUUUAAGUUAAAUAAACUAUUAAUUUUCAAAAUUAAAAAUAAAUCUAUAAAAUUAAGUUUCA